GACGAACGCUGGCGGCGUGCCUAAUACAUGCAAGUAGAACGCUGAAGGCGGAGCUUGCUUCUCCGGAUGAGUUGCGAACGGGUGAGUAACGCGUAGGUAACCUGCCUGGUAGCGGGGGAUAACUAUUGGAAACGAUAGCUAAUACCGCAUAAGAGUAGAUGUUGCAUGACAUUUGCUUAAAAGGUGCAAUUGCAUCACUACCAGAUGGACCUGCGUUGUAUUAGCUAGUUGGUGGGGUAACGGCUCACCAAGGCGACGAUACAUAGCCGACCGGAGAGGGGGAUCGGCCACACUGGGACGGAGACACGGCCCAGACUCCUAAGGGAGGGAGCAGUAGGGAAUCUUAGGCAAUGGACGGAAGUCUUACCGAGCAACGCCGAGUGAGUGAAGAAGGGUUUCGGAUCGGAAAGAUCUGUUGUAAGAGAAGAACGGGUGUGAGAGUGGAAAGUUCACACUGUGACGUUAUCUGACCAGAAAGGGACGGCUAACUACGUG
This 495-nucleotide ribosomal RNA is filed under the name uncultured bacterium. Its description in RNAcentral is "partial 16S ribosomal RNA". It matches the Rfam family "Bacterial small subunit ribosomal RNA", at positions 28 to 507 of the family's 1533-position model. The record is from RNAcentral.